CGGGGCUGCGCUGCGCUGGGGCACGUGCCUAACCUGAGGCGGGCCGCUCCGUGCAGUCAGUAACUGAGAGUGUCUCGCUCUUUCCAGGGGAAUUCCAAGCAUUACCUGCAGCUCUGUUGAUUCUGUCACUGAAGAGGGGACAGUGUUUGAGCUGGAUAAGAGUGGGUGGUGAUGUUCCUGCUGUGGCAAAUGGUUAAUAACAAGAAAAACAAAAGGCUUGAUCCAUUAAAUUACUCAAGAAGAAGGAGGAAUGACAAUCGGUCCCCAUGGUGAAAGCAAGGGUUGUGCUCAAUACAGCAUUACAGCAAAUUGACAGGACCUUCUGUCCAAAGGGGGCGGGGGACUGAAUCCUUGUGGAAGAAGGGAUGGACUUCAGCUUACUAGGACCCCCUAGGACUGAUGGAGUGUGCUGGUAAUUUUGAUGGGGGAGUUCAGGAGAUGGAGCGCAACGUGAUUCAAGACAAAAGAGUCUCCAUUCUGAUUACUGCUCCAUUGUGUGACAGAGCAAAACAUUUCAAUGUGGUUGAGACUGAAUUUGAGUCAAGAAAAUACAAGUUGCAGACGGAAGGGGACAUGGCAGAUGUCUUUCACCCUGGCUAGCAAAUUUAAUCUUUGGACCAAUGUGUGUCAGAGAUGGCCUCAGGAUGAAAUGUCUGAUUAAGCAAUAAAAUUGCAUCAUGGCCUAAAUGAAGAUUUACUGACAGUGCUUCCAGGCAUACCUACCCCAAGCCCUUAUACUACCGGCUGCGUUGCCACUUGGUGUAAAGUAUCCACUUCACACAGGAUAGUUUGCUAUGGGCCCCUUUGGAAUAAAGCCGUCUCACAGCUGUGUGUUACCUGAACAGACUUGGAUUAAGUUUCUGUUGCCAUGGAAGCCAUGUAGUCCCCUCUAAUUAUUCUGUUCACAUGACAGCCAUGCCCACUGUGGGAUAAAUUCUGACAGAGUUCAGAUUACAAGGUAGGUUCCUUUCUCUUUUUUGGUGAGGCAGGCAUAUUGGAUUAAUGUGUAGCUGGCCUACAAAUAACUGAAAAGGCCUGAUUGCGCAGGGCAAGGUUUGUAAGUACAUAGUUUGAAAUUAUAAUGUAUAUGUCAUCUGCCAUGCUUAUCUCGUGGGUAAACAUGUUAAAUUAACUUGGAAAAAGAAGAGAUGCCUGCCAGCCACAGCUGUUAGUCUUAAUCUUUCUCAUUUAAUUUCUAAGCAAGCCUUUUCUCAUCUCACACAUUAUGCCUAGAAAGGGGGGGAUGUGUGUACUCCAUGAAUCUGGAGUGAGAUUUAUGGAAAAUCUGACAUGGAGCAGAAGAGAUGUGUUAUUGUGUACAUAUUGUUGGUUUUAACCAAUAAAACCCUAAAUGGCAUUUUUCAGACUGCCUUUCUUCGUAUAUGAUACACAACAGCUGAGCUCAGUGGAGGCACUCAGGCUACUAAGGAUCAGGGUGGUGCAUUUGAAUAAACUGAAAUACAUACAUAAAUAUAAAUGCAGUGGCAUAAAUGACAGGUAUGGCACAAGAGGUCAUCAGGAAAAUUAGAACAACCACCAAGGUGGGUUAAGAAGAGCGAGAUUGACAGCUUGUCUCAUGGAGACAUGCCAGAGAAACAGAAAAAGUAAGUACAUCCUGCAUGAGUCGUACCUAUGUUCUCAAUAAUUUCGUAGAUUUGAUAAAGUGGUUGGGAGAUUGAAUGUGAGACCGGAAUGCCAAGAAGAUGCAACAAGGAGGCAGAGGGAAAACACACAAAAGCAAGAUGAUUGGUGAGUAGCAAUCCCCAGAAUCUCUUGAAUCAAGUCUCUCAUCCUGGAAGUACUCUAGGUUCCCCAGAAGGUCUUCAGAAGAUGAUACUCAAAAUCUCUCUCAGACCUUUGAGAGGAUACCCUGAAUGUGACAGUAGCCAAAAAUCAAUUAAUGUUGUUAUUUAUUAUUAUUAUUAUUUAUUAUUAACCAUGUUUAUUAUGGAAGUGUCUAAAGGUCAACCAAGAAUGGGGCUUCAUUGUGCCAGGCUCUGUAAAAAAAACAAAAAACAAACCCAAAACAGCAGUUGUAGACAAUCCCUAUCCCCAAAGACUUUAUAAUCUAAAUAGUCUUGCUACUGUAUUCAGACAAGACAGACUUGCAAUUUAUAGUGAUUCAGAUGUUAAGAUGUAACCUGAGCAUUAUGAACAAGAGAAAUGACCCAUCCUGAAAACUCACAAUGUUACUAUGCCAGGAAUUCCAGAGGUGUACAUUUUUAUCCUACCUACAAACCUUGGGAGGCAAACACAUUUGGAGGACCGCUAAUAAAAGUGAAUAAGGCAAGAAAUUAAGUUGUCAGCAUUUCUCAAAUGAGUCUGUUCAUGAAGAUUAUUUUGAAGAUAUGAAAACUGGGUAAAAUUGUCUAAACACAACUCCCAAAUAACUUGCCCACAAAUACUGAUAACAUCUGCAACACAGUACGUAUUUUGUACAAUGAACCCAAGAUGACCUAUUCAGCAAACAUAAGGUUUAAAGACACGUCAGGCUUGUAACAACUACAGAUAGUCUAUGCUUUCCUAUUACUACAUAUCGGUACCAUCAAAAUUGUCAAAUACCGGAUGUUUCUUUAGCAUCCUUAAAUGCAAUGGACCCAUCACUAAAACUCUGUAAUUUGAUCUCACUGUAAUGAGUCAAAGUCUCUGUAAAUAUUAAAGGUGGUGAUGGAUUCACCUCCACAGUGUCCUCAGUUUUUUUUCCAGGGAAGCUUCCUAAAGAUUGGAUGCCUAUCCAAACUUAAUUGUUCACUUCUUGGUAUAGAAUUUGGGCUGUCAAGUUUGGGAUAACAGGUUUCCUCUCAGGAAGUCCAGUGCUCCCUUGCCUUGUUGGGAUUGGAAAACGUAAGGAUAUCUUUUCUAGCUGUGUUUCAGUAUGUUUGCUUCUGAGGAAAAAAAAAGAAGAAAAAGAAGAAGAAAAUAGUUUAUAAAUUAACAAACUAACUUUUUCAAACCUCAGAAUAGCUUCAGGUUCAGUUUUGUGUGAAGGAUCAGGUCUGUCAUUUUAUUUGAAGCAGUUCACCUAUCCUUAUUAAAUAUGGCACAUGCUGCUCUUUAUUACUACAUAAAACAGCUCUUAUGGCCAUAAUAAAGUAGAUAUGAAAUUCAAGGUGCUGUGCCUUUUAAAGAUAUGAUGCAGCCUCAAUACACUUGCAGGCAUAAGUCUAUCUAUCUAUCUAUCUAUCUAUCUAUCUAUCUAUCUAUCUAUCUAUCUAUCUAUCUAUCUAUCUAAUGUUUUUAUUAAUAGGGAGAAAAAAUGAAAUGCAUUGAAUUAAGAUAGCAUUCUGGAUGGACACACUGGAAAAAUAGGUAUUUUACUACAAAAAGGGAAUUGUUUUUUCUGACAAUGGGCAGGUCAGUAUCUUUGCUGAAAAGAUGCUGACCUGAAUAGACUAUCAAAAUGCUUCAUGGCUGUUAAAUGAAGAACUCAUCCUUCUAAUCUUUGAGUGGGAGAGGAGGCAUUUGUUCAAUAGUCUCACACACACACACACACACACACACACACACAGUGCAACAAAAUUUGAUUCACAACAAUAUCUAAUGGAUUGAAAAGAAAGCAAUGGGGUCUUUGCAAGAACCUCAGUGAACUAUUUUCCAUAGUUAUUUUAAUGAGAACAAUAAAAUGGAUGCAUCAGACACCAGGAAAUAUCCUGAGGCAUAUUGAUCUGAAUAGCCAGAGGAAAGUUGAUAGAGAGGUCCAAGCGACACAGAAAUGUUCCAAAGAUACUCAUCAUUAUCGAACUCUUUUUUAUGGAUAUGUGCUAUAGAGUAUAAUAGGAAUGAAACAUACAGGGUUCUGUAAAAAUUAAUGUUAAAAUCUACCAUGUGGAAUUUAAUUGAGAACCAGACCUUGAUGAUAUCUUAUUUUAAACUGAGAAUUCAUUAAAAAUAAUCUGGGAGGUGUGACAGGGUGUGAGUAGCCUAAGGCUGACUCCUCACUCUGUGCCCUUAGGUCUGGUCUACACCACAGAGUUAGGUCAACGCAAGGCAGCUUACGUCAACCUAACUAUGGAAGUGUCUACACUUAAAUAUUGCUCCCGCUGAUGUUACUGGCCAACUAUGCCAACUUAAUAACUCCACCUCUGCAAGUGGCGUAGUGUCAUGGUCAAUGUAGUUAGGUUGACACAGUGUCAGUGUAGACACUGCAUUGCUUAUAUUGGCUGUUACUGGCUUUCAGGAACCAUCCCACAAUGCCCCACACUGAUAAUACAAUCCAUAUAAGCGCACCUGGUGAGGACAUGCACUGCUGACACAAGGAGCAAAGUGCAGACACGGAUAAGCAAUACAAUUACUGCGAUGGCUGUACGCCAACAUAAGCUAGGUCAACUUAAUUUUUUAGUGUAGACAUGGCCUCAGUAAGUGUUCCCACAUGAGCCAAAGUGAUGAGAUAAUUGAUUAAGUACCAGGUGAUUAAUCAGUCAGCAAGGGGAUUCAGCUCCUCAGCUGAGGAUGGUUAAAUGAGAGUCAGGAGGAGGCUGGAAGGCAGAAGGACAAAGGAUCUCAGGAUCUCAGAGAGAUGAGAUUUCUCUUCUGCCCUGUGCCUUGGUAGUAGGUAAAGGCUUGGGGAAAAGCCUUAUGCAGUGAGGAACAAACACUUGUAAAGCAUGUUGUAAACCAGACAUUCUCAAACUGGUGAGCAUGCCCCCUAGAGGGCAUGGAAUGUGUUGGGGUGGGGGGGGCAUCAGAAGAUUUAGGGAAAAAAACUUACUGCACAUAUUCAGAGCUGGGCAGCUGGAGAGCAGUGGCUGCUGGCCAGGUGCCCAGCUCUGAAGCCAGCACUGCUGCCAGCAGUAGUGGAGAAGUAAGGGCAUAGCAUGUCACUUUUACUUCUGAACUGCUGUGGUGGUGAUGCUGCCUUCAGAGCUGGGAGCCUGACCAGAUGCAGCUGAUCUCCCCUCUGUCUUCAGAGCUGGGUGGUUGGAAAGCAGUGUCUGCUAGCUGGGCACCCUGGGAGGGGGCAUGUAAAUUACCGACAUAAAGAAUGGGGGCAUGAUAAGUUUGAGAACCACUGUUGUAAAUAAUGCAGAUGGUGUGGAACAUGCCAUUGGUGUGCAUGAGGACUGUUUGCAGCAAGAAAUACAGGGUGAGGGAACCAUGCCCUGUGACCGGAGGGAACUGCAGAGUAGUGGUAUUAUGUCAAUAAUAAAAUUCACACACAAAGGGGCCUGAUUCUGAUCUCUCACCAGUUUUACAUGGGGGGUCACACCACUAGCUUCAGUGGAGUUACUCUUGAUUUACACUGGAGUAAGUAAGAUCCUAGGAGUACCAAUUGCUCUUAAGAUGGGCUGAAACUUCAGUGGAAUUUCAGAUGUGAGACCAUUGGGUUAAGGUCUCAACUGUGAGCAGCCCUGUAAUACUGCUCUUUGGCUAUGCAGUGCCCAGAAGUCUUAAGUCUCAUUACAAGUAUAAAGUCUAUGUUUUAUUCAUCUGUGUGAGCCAAAUUCUGCCCUUAGAAACAUGUGCCCAGCUCCUGUUGGAAAAAAUGGGAAUUGUAUGAGUGUAUCUGAGGGAGGUGUGAGCAUAGACUGCCAUAGUUUUCAUCCAUUUCGCAUGGCAUCAGAAUUGUGUCUCCCCCAUUGUAAUGUUACAAGAUUUCACUUGCUAAGAAUUCAGUACUUUGCACCAUAUGUAUCUAAAUGUAGCUUAGGGACGAACACCGUUACAUUUUUCUCUCAUUUCUUAUUGUUCACCCCUCUUCUGUCUGUGACUUCAUUUCAGACCAAGAAAGUCAAUAUUUACUCUGCUUUUUUAUUUUUCAUUUUGCUGCUCUAUUAUACCAUAACUAAUAUAGGCUGAUCUUACAUAAUGUGAUACAUUGGUGGUGACAACAGAAGGUUACCAUGCCUAUCACAAAUAAACAUGAUAAAAUAACACAGGUUUAUAGUCAGAAGAAAUAUCUAUUUUAGCAGGUGUCAAAGCAGCUAAAACACUUAUUCAGUGAUAACUUUCUACCCAGUUUUCAAGUGUCUCUUGCUUUCUCUUCAUCUGCCUUAUACUUUAUUUCUACAAUGCUUUGCAUUUGUAUUUAUUUAUUAAUUUAUGUCGAGUAACACUAUCAUUUUGACUCAUUGCUUAACAAAGAGGAGCAUGGUUCAUGGUCUCCUUUGCCCUAUGGCCAAUUUGCCUAGCUUGAUCCAAAUUUAUGUUCUUCUUGCCUACUCAUGGUUAAGCAUUUAGGGUCCAUUGGUGCAAAACCUCACAUGUAGGGGGAAGCAGCAGAUAGUGUCCAUUACUCUUCCCUAGGGUACGUGUACACUACACACUUAAGUUAACUUCAGAUAAGUCGAUGUCCAGCCGUCACAGUAAUUAAGUUGGUAGUGUGCGUCCAUACCACACUCUUUGUGUUGGUGGAGCGCGUCCUCAUUAGCAGCUCUUGCACUGAUGCAGAGAGCAGUGCACUGUGGGUAGUUAUCCCACAGUGCAACUUGCUGCAGAGGGUUUUGGGAAGGGCUUGCAAUGCCCUUCCCAAACUUUUGAGUUUCAUCGCAAAAAGUCAUUGGCAAGUGUAGAUGCUCCCAUGGUUUUUGCGCAAAAAAGGGACUUUUUCCGCUUUAAAUGACAAGAGUAGAUAUGUCCUAGGUUAGACCUCAGUGAAAGCAAUAUCCCCAUGGUUAUAGCUGCCUGCUGUGUGCUUCAUAAUACCUGUGAGGCAAAGGGAGACAAGUUUGCACAGAGAUGGGGCGUGGAGGUGGAUCGGCUGUCUGCUAAUUUUGAGCAGCUAGAUACCAGGGCUAUAAGAAGAGAGCAUGGGGUACUGCAUCUCAGGGAGGCUUUGAAAAUCCAUUUUAGUCAUGACCCACAGUAAUGUGCACUGCUUCUCUGUGUUGUGCCUUCCAUAGUGUGAACCUUGCUGAGAUGGCUGGGUUUUUGUCCUCAGCACCUCCCCUCUGUUGCCUCAGGUUCCCUGUCCCGCCCCGUCUCCCUGUUUUAAAUUAACAAAGAUACUUUCAUUCACAAGACAUGGACUUUUAUUGCACAAACAUACUGAAACUUAAAGAGCACAAAUAGUAUUUAACCUUGGACACAUGGUGGAAUAAAAUUGGGAGGGGAAAAACACAUUAAUCUUGUCUUUAAAAGCAGUGGCCUUGCCUGUCACACAUCAUUGUAUGUCCCGCUUUUAUUCUUAGGACUCUCCCUUUGGGCUUGAGUGGAAGGAAUAUUGCAUUUCCCCCCCUUGCCUCCUAGAACGUUUGGUAGUGGGGAAAGAUGGUGAUGUUGGAAGGCAGCUCUGCAGGGACUGCAAAGGGAGUCUAGCCUCAAGAUUUUUCUCCUGAAGGUCAACCAGAUGCCUCAAUAUGUCUGUUCCAUCAGAAUCCACAGCAUCUCCUGCUGCAUGCCACACUCAUGCUUCUGGGCUGCUCUCCUACUCGCAAUGUCCAUGUCCCAUUUUUCAGAGAGAGAAGUCUCCACACUUAAUGCUUGGUGUCUGCCAUCCCAGAGGCAUUCAUUAUCUCAUUAAACAUGUCAUCAUGCAUUCUCUUUAGCCUUCGUCUUAUAGGGGAGAGCCUCUCCACCGGUGUGCAGGAAGAGCUGAAGGCUGCACUUUCAGCUGUAAGCCAUGGAAAGCACAAAGCAACCAAUGUCAGUGCAGACCCAGUGUUCAGUGCAGAGUUGCUAUAUAAAAAUCUCUCCCCUUGUUUUAUGGAAGUUUAAGGCAGAACCUUUUCAUUUACACUAGGUAUUUAUUGAACCUGUUUGCUGUCCCAGCCAUGGUGAAUAUGGCCCUGGGGCAUCGGUGCUGAACCAUCAGCAGCAUUGAGUGGGCAACCCACCACGGACCAGAGGUGGGCAAAGGGCCAUGCCAUCUCCUCCUUGUAACAUGGACAUUGUCUGGAGAUUGGGGACCAGCGCUGACCUCCCAAACUACAAGCCUUGGCAGAGGCUGCGCUGGAGGGGGUGCGUGCCUGCUACAAUGUGUGGGCACCACAAAAUUUCCCUUCCCCCUGGUGCCACUGCUGCUAGCUGUCAUCUGAGGAUUGCAGUUACGAAGGUCAAUGAGGACCCCUGCCACCCAAACUACAGCCAUGUUUUGGAAAUCGUGAGUGAAGGAGUGGAAAAUCACAAUGCAGGGGGACCACACAUACUAUUUUUUGUGGUCCGAGCAGUUGAAAUGAAAACUACCACCAUUUCCCCUAGGUGACCCUAUGCGAUAUCACUCUCCUGAGGGUAACAGAGGCAGCAAGAGAAUAGAUGCUGCAAGGUCCAGGUCCAGACCGGGCGCUCAUGCUGCUAUGCUGUGUACUGCAAUGAUGCCAGCAGAAUUAAUAUUGGAGUGGCGCGGGAAAGUGUCUUGCCAUGGUGGAAGAAAUAAGGCAGCCCUUCCCAGAAACCUUCUGCAAUGGAUUGCAGAGUACCACCACAAAAGUUUCUUGAAGCUCUCUGUGGAGGUUUUCUGGGCCAUCCCUGUGUACUGUGACAGACCCAGACCAGUGGGGUACAGGAAUCUGGUAGAUGGCAAAUACACUGGUCGCUGGAUGAGUAGUUUUCUGUUCCCUGAUGACCAGAGCAGGGGCUGCACUAGAGUAAUCAGGAACCUGCUAGAACCAGUUAAGGCAGGCAGGUUCUAAUUAGGACAC
Molecule: non-coding RNA, 8576 nt
Organism: Chrysemys picta bellii (western painted turtle)
Lineage: Eukaryota; Metazoa; Chordata; Testudines; Emydidae
Source: RefSeq, a predicted model, not a curated record